RNAcentral lists this long non-coding RNA (675 nucleotides) under Olea europaea (common olive). Its description in RNAcentral is "long non-coding RNA (OEUR_LNC003864)". Lineage: Eukaryota; Viridiplantae; Streptophyta; Magnoliopsida; Lamiales; Oleaceae. The record is from RNAcentral.
CAGAGCCGGACCUGAGGAGAGGCUCAAGAGGCCUCUGCCUCAGGCCCAGCAUAUUGGGGGGCCCAAAAUUAGUUGUAUAAUUUUUUUUUUUAUUUUUACGUUUUUUGUUUUAAAGCCCAACUGCAAAUAUUCUAAUCUACAUCAUCUCUCCACGGUUCCACGACGAGUCCACAAAAUUGCAGAUUCUCCUCGCUGCAAAAUUCGAUCGGCGACGGGCGUCGACAAAUCUGAAGUCACGCAUUCUCCGGUCUAUUUUCGAAAUCAUUGGUAAGUAAUUUAUUUUCCCCAAGAUCCGUCGGCAAUGAGAUGGAAUGGAAUGCUGCUUCUGUAAUGUUAUUAAUUCAAUUUUUUGUUUUGGGUGAGAUUCAAAAUGGGUAUUAAUUCGUUUUCUGUUAUUAUUUCAUUUUCUACGAGUAUCAAAAUCUGUCAUAUUCUAUGUUAAUGUCACCGACUCACCAAACUUGGAAGAUAUCUGAUUUAUUUGUGUAAAUCUAUUGGGUUGUUAUGUUGAUCUUUCACUCGAAUUGGUUUGUGGUGAAUGGUUUAAUUUCAACACAACCUCGAUCUAAGAUUCUGUCAGCCUUAUCUCCAUUAUCUUCUUGUGCAGGGUCUUCCUUGUUUAACUGUUUUUGGAUGAUUGAAAUUCUGAAAUUCAUCCAUUAAUGAUUAAUCUUG